Molecule: ribosomal RNA, 460 nt
Filed under: uncultured bacterium
Lineage: Bacteria
Description: partial 16S ribosomal RNA
Rfam family: Bacterial small subunit ribosomal RNA
Source: RNAcentral
CCUACGGGCGGCAGCAGUGAGGAAUAUUGGUCAAUGGGCGUAAGCCUGAACCAGCCAAGCCGCGUGAGGGAUGAAGGUUCUAUGGAUCGUAAACCUCUUUUAUAAGGGGAUAAAGUGUGGGACGUGUCCUAUUUUGUAUGUACCUUAUGAAUAAGGAUCGGCUAACUUCGUGCCAGCAGCCGCGGUAAUACGGAGGAUCCGAGCGUUAUCCGGAUUUAUUGGGUUUAAAGGGUGCGUAGGCGGCCUUUUAAGUCAGCGGUGAAAUUCUGUGGCUCAACCAUAGAAUUGCCGUUGAGACUGGGAGGCUUGAGUAUGUUUGAGGCGGGCAGAAUGCGAGGUGUAGCGGUGAAAUGCGUAGAGAUCACGCAGAACACCGAUGGCGAAGGCAGCCUGCCAAGCCAUGACUGACGCUGAUGCACGAAAGCGUGGGGAUCAAACAGGAUUAGAUACCCCUGUAGUC